CGCCAGACUCCUACGGGAGGCAGCAGUGGGGAAUAUUGCACAAUGGGGGAAACCCUGAUGCAGCGACGCCGCGUGAGCGAUGAAGUAUUUCGGUAUGUAAAGCUCUAUCAGCAGGGAAGAAGAUGACGGUACCUGACUAAGAAGCCCCGGCUAACUACGUGCCAGCAGCCGCGGUAAUACGUAGGGGGCAAGCGUUAUCCGGAUUUACUGGGUGUAAAGGGAGCGUAGACGGCGAUGCAAGCCAGAUGUGAAAGCCCGGGGCUCAACCCCGGGACUGCAUUUGGAACUGUGUGGCUGGAGUGUCGGAGAGGCAGGCGGAAUUCCUAGUGUAGCGGUGAAAUGCGUAGAUAUUAGGAGGAACACCAGUGGCGAAGGCGGCCUGCUGGACGAUGACUGACGUUGAGGCUCGAAAGCGUGGGGAGCAAACAGGAUUAGAUACCCCAGUACAU
RNAcentral lists this ribosomal RNA (449 nucleotides) under uncultured bacterium. RNAcentral describes it as "bacterial SSU rRNA". It matches the Rfam family "Bacterial small subunit ribosomal RNA", at positions 329 to 795 of the family's 1533-position model. The record is from RNAcentral.